This 320-nucleotide long non-coding RNA is filed under the name Phasianus colchicus (ring-necked pheasant). RNAcentral's name for it is "lncRNA (ENSPCLG00000020329.1)". The record is from RNAcentral. Lineage: Eukaryota; Metazoa; Chordata; Aves; Galliformes; Phasianidae.
AUGUAUCUCUCUCAUAGCCCAGAGGAGAGGAGAGCAAGAUGGAAAGAAGAUACUGUGGUGAGAUGGCAGGAAAGAGGACACAAAAGGGAAGAGAUUGGUACUAGGCUUUGGCAUCGUGCUGGGCUUAUGGUGAAUACAAGAAGAGCUCCUGUGGUCAGCCAUCCCAGUCCAGAGGAGAGAAGGGCACAGGAGGAUAUGACCAGAGCUUGGAACCCUCCUGUCCUCAUCCUCUCAGUUUUGGACAGGAGUUCCACCUAGCACAAGGACAUCGAUACCAAGAUAAGUAAUGAAAUUAACACCAUGAUGGCUGUGAUGAGGGC